UGUCACGGUAUGAAUAAGCAGUUCUUGGCCUGUGGAGCCAGCAGUGCUGUCAAGCCAUUGAUGUACAACACUCUGGCCUUUGUUCCCCUGUACACAAACACGGUUGCCACAUUAAUAUUUCACAGGAAAUGUACUCUCUGCUCCUGAUUUAAAGCCCUUUCUUGUUAACAGCGCUGUUUGCCUCAUUCGGCCGCUCUGACGUAUGCGGCUUACAGGCCCACAUUUGUCCCUGCCUGCGCACUGUCGUUUAGGAUCAUACCAUAUUUAUUUUUCAUAGCAAAGUGUUUGGGGUAAGAGAUUUAAGAAUGAAGUCUCUUUAUGGCCAUGUCCCUUAAGUACCCUAAUUUGAUUGUAAUUAAAAAUCAUUGUGCUCAUCUGCGGUUUGCUGGUAAGAUUCAUAAUUUGCAAUCAUUCGUAAAUUGUUUUUCUUUUGGCCAUGUGUCUGUGUUUGUGUUGUGAUAAAGUCAGUGUAGUGUGAUCAUUUGUUAUAAAGGGAACGGAAGCACUGUAGAGCCCAAUAAAAAAAACAAGGGAUCAAUAGAUUCUCCCCGCAAGAGUGAAACAUAACAGAAGCAACUAAAGCCUUUUAUGAGAGAAACAAUACAUUAUUCAUGGCAAACUCUCUUUUGUUCUGCUUUGUUGUGUCUUAUACAGAUGGGAUUACAGAAGGCUAGAUCUUGGAAACAUAUGAAAGAUUAAUACGUGAAUGGGGACAUGGUUUGCUUACGAAAGGACUAAAUAAUUAUUCUUUCACAGUGAGCGGUGGAAGAGCUCCAGAGAUGGAGAACCAGGAGCACACUUUGACUGCAGAAUGAGACGGUGAAGUCAGAGUCGGCCCCAGCCGAGAGUGACCUUGAUCUGGCAGACACCGCUGAGUCUAUAUCUGGAACUUAAGACUUUUUUAGGUACCUGUAAAUGUGGAAGGUCUGAGCUGCAACCGAAGCUGACUGUAAUGUAAGAUUAUCAGCGACGGGGUCACAUGAGGACAGUUAUCUCCGAGUUCGUCCACAUAGCUUUCAUACGGCCCUGCUGUCGCCCUGUUUUGCAUCCAGGCUCAGAGCCACCCGGCACAGAGAGAGGAUUACAGGCAGUUCUAUGAAAAAGUCAGAAUUAUGAGAUACCAUAUAAACUUGAGUUAACUCACAAUUUGGAGAUAUAAAUUUGCAAUUCUGAGAAGAAAAGUCAGAAGCUAACACUUCAGAGGUGUUAUUUCACUUUCUGGGCUGUUUUGAAUGUGCAGUAAAAAAUGUGGACAUUGCCAAGGACACAUUCCAGAAAACAAGGAUGUCUGGUCACCCAACUUAAAGUUCAUGUGGUCUGUAUUUGUCGUGAGCAUAAACUCUAUGCUAACACAACACCCUGACCCAGGUCAUAGCAGUAGCAUUGAGGCCAGCUGGCACAACUUUACAGGGGACUGACUCACCAGCAAACAAGCCCCGCUGUCGGAAAAAGCCAGACAGCAGUGUUAAUUAGAGGAGCAGGGAGAUAGAAGCGGCAGGGGCAGAGCUGAUGAAUGCCUGCUUGGUUUGACUUUGGUGGGGAGUAAGGCAAGCUUUACAGUUAAAAGAGGCUAAAUGGAUGACAAGCGUUUGCUUGUACGGUAAGCUCACAUUAUGAUGCUUAGGCAUGAAUGAGGAUGUGAAGCUGCACCAGAUCGACUCACUGCACAGGCACCAUGUGAUGAUGAGAUGCUCGGGCCUGGUUUCGCCACUGUUGUCUGUGAUAAAGAGGGGCUUUUGGAAGGGACAUCACUGACUGCAAUCAUCUGACACCUGUUAAAUGAUUUUUACAUGUUUUUCAUGCCUGAAAGACACCAGUUAACCACCUGGAUUUUAUUUAAGUAUAAGUGAGUGGGCUAAGCUGUGUCUCUUUUUUUUUUGGUUAAUGCAUAAAUUGUCCUCUCUAAUCAAGAAGAUAUUUUUGGAUGUCAGCUAUCAGAUGAAAUUAGAAUGAAAUUACAAGAAAAAUGUCUGUAAAAUUUUAAAUGCCAUCUUGCCAUAUAUAUAUAUAUACAUACACACUAUCAUUUAAAAGUUCUUAUCGGCAUCAAUAAGAUUGAUCAAAAGUGACAGUAAAGACUUA
Molecule: long non-coding RNA, 2082 nt
Organism: Onychostoma macrolepis
Lineage: Eukaryota; Metazoa; Chordata; Actinopteri; Cypriniformes; Cyprinidae
Exons: 7
Source: RefSeq, a predicted model, not a curated record